CCUACGGGUGGCAGCAGUGAGGAAUAUUGGUCAAUGGGCGCGAGCCUGCACCAGCCAAGUAGCGUGAAGGAUGACUGCCCUACGGGUUGUCAACUUCUUUUAUAAAGGAAUAAAGUGAGGCACGUGUGCCUUUUUGUAUGUACUUUAUGAAUAAGGAUCGGCUAACUCCGUGCCAGCAGCCGCGGUAAUACGGAGGAUCCGAGCGUUAUCCGGAUUUAUGGGGUUUAAAGGGAGCGUAGAUGGGUUGUUAAGUCAGUUGGGAAAGUUUGCGGCUCAACCGUAAAAUUGCAAUUGAUACUGGCAGUCUUGAGUACAGUUGAGGUAGGCGGAAUGCGUGGUGUAGCGGUGAAAUGCAUAGAUAUCACGCAGAACCCCGAUUGCGAAGGCAGCCUUCCGGCGCCCUACUGACGCUGAGGCACGAAAGUGCGGGGAUCGAACAGGAUUAGAUACCCCAGUAGUC
RNAcentral lists this ribosomal RNA (460 nucleotides) under uncultured bacterium. RNAcentral's name for it is "partial 16S ribosomal RNA". It matches the Rfam family "Bacterial small subunit ribosomal RNA", at positions 338 to 795 of the family's 1533-position model. The record is from RNAcentral.